CAGGAUUCAAUCCACUUGUGUCUGACCCAAAGCCCUUGCCCUUUUUCCUAGGCUAAUCCUCUUCUCUCAGUGAGGUGCCCACAACAAACUUUCUGGCCCCUCAGUCAAGUUUAUCAUCACACUUUUGCAGAAGCUGAUCUCCCUCUUGUUCUGACAUUAGUGACCGCCCCAGGCAAUAGCAUUUCACAGCACGCCACAGCAAUUAUUUACGACUUGGAGGUUUGCAGCCUGGGGCUGGUUUACCUGAACUGUUUUGAACAAAAACAAAAGAAUCUCUGUCUUGGUUGCUCCAGGAUUCUGUGAUCCAAAGGAAAUCUGUCUUCUAUAGGCGACGUGGAGGAAGAGUACACGCAGAAGAAAGGCCCCUUCCAGGUAUUUUUGGAAGUGUCAUGGGAAUGAGAAACAAGAAGUCUGAAAAGCUUGUCCUGAAAAUAAUGAGGGUGCUUGAGAGAGAAACUUAUCUUCUUUUCAUUUGUUUUGGAAGAGAUUGUAAACAGUUUAUCAAUAAUAGAACCCUGGCAACUAUUUCUCUGUGUGUCUGUGGAGGAGCAAAACAACAGAGGUUUGCUUACUUAUUGUACAUCUAGAAUUUCACAAUAAAAUAUCCAGAACUAAGGGAA
Molecule: long non-coding RNA, 620 nt
Organism: Bubalus bubalis (water buffalo)
Lineage: Eukaryota; Metazoa; Chordata; Mammalia; Artiodactyla; Bovidae
Exons: 2
Source: RefSeq, a predicted model, not a curated record